GUGCGUCAGGGACUGGGGUGUCAGACAGGACUGGUGUGUCAGGGUGGUGAUCUGAGGCGACAGGGUAGUGAUUGGGUAAAGGGUGGAUCUGAGGUGUCAGGGUGGUGAUCUGAGGCGCCAGGGUAGUGAUUGGGUAAAGGGUGGAUCUGAGGUGUCAGGGUGGUGAUUUGAGGCGCCAGGGUAGUGAUUGGGUAAAGGGUGGAUCUGAGAUGUCAGGAAUCAGUCACCAUCCUGGACGUGGAUGGGGAAGCUGAGGUGUGAGUGAUGGGUCAUUCUGUUAAGAUGGUACUGGAGGCUUUUCAGUCUCAUCCCAAACAAAACAUGCUCGAUGCUGUUGAUGUUCAAAUUCGUUCAAAAAUAAAUAUACUGCGUGACAUCAACUUUUAAAAUGAGGAAAUGGCCCAAUUUUGAAGAAUAAUCAAUAUCUAGUCGUCCAUCCUUCUACACUCAAAUCCAAUCCACUCUCUAAAACCUAGAGUUCCUGAUUCUAUCAAGGCUCUCUAUUGUACUGCAUUCUGUGUUGUACACAACACUCACGAAGUGGGGCUUAUACACAAACAACCGUGCUGAUCAGUGCAAAAUGCAUAGCUCGUUAUGGGAAAGUAAUUUCGUUUUCAGUCCAUGUACGUGGUUGCUGAAGUCUGACUUUUGAAAUGACUCACAGCCUAUCAUGUGACCUUCUGCCUUGCGAUAUUAAUGACAAUUAGCUAAUGCAACGUUCUAAGGUCGGAUGGUCGUGACACAACAAAGACCGAAUUCGUGUCCCUGUUGCGAUUUCUUUGUAGCCUGAAUCCUCUUCCAAAGCCAGUGAAACCCAGCUGGUCUUAACCCCAUUAUCCCGGAAACCCAGCCCUUUGGACGAGUGCGUGCGUGCGUGCGUGCGUGCGUGCGUGCGUACGUAUGUAUGUAUUCAAACACUGUGCUGUCAGUACCCUCAUAACUCCAGACAUUUUGGCACACUGCUUUGGCAAUGUAUCAAACCAUACGAUUAAAUUUACAGUGUAUAUGAUUGCACUUGUUAUGAUUUACUUCCUAGGUUGCUUUCAUAGAAUGGCAUUGUGCACAAAUAGAUACAUGUCGCGACUGUAACGGUGUCAAGUUAGUUUGCUGAACAAUCGUUGGCAUUCCCGAGUCGGUUAUUGUCCCGAAAACAAACCUGAAGGAAAGGAGAUAUGGGGUUUUCUGUGGGGAGCGUAGAUCUAACGUGUGUUUUUAUUUUAUAUCAUUUUAGAACAAACAAAUUAGCAUCAAUGCUGUGAAAUACAUGCUUUACUCUUUGUAUGUGUCACAGGCCAAAUAAAAGUGAAACGCUGCGUAACAUUGAAAAGAUUGGAAUCUGUUUAACCAAACGGAAAAGCUACGCCAGCUUUGGGGAAUCAUUGUUUUAAGAAAAUGUCAUUCGACUUCGACAGUAAGAGAACUGAACGUUCAAAAAUACAGAGAGAGAAAAGAGAUACGGGUUGAUCGAACCACAUGUAAGUAAGGUUGAGGCAGUGGGGUAGCCUAGUGGUUGAAGCGUUCGCUCGUUACGGCAAAGACCCAAGUUCGUUUUUUCAAUAUGGGAAGAAUGUGUAAUAAAGCUCAUUUCUGGUAUUCCCCACCGUGAUAUUGCUGGAAUAUAGUUUAAACUGGCGUAAAACCUUACUCCAUCACUACAAGUGUAGUCGAGUUAUUUAUAUAUCUUGAUCAGCUGUCGGCCUCAAAUUAUGAUUUUGUGUACUGAACUGAGCGUACUUUAGUACUUCCGUCGACCCUGUAAACAUGCGAGCAAUGUACAUCGCAUGAUGAGUUAACUAUGACAAUGCACUCUCUACCUCAAGGGGGUGCUAAGUUUAAUUGUGUCGUAAGGCGUGGGUUUGUAUCAUUAUGUUGUUAGUUAAGUGCAAAUGAUGAGUCCACACGUUUUGGAUGAACCGAAAACUGGUUUGAACUUUUCAUUUUAUGCAAUUACGUCACUUGUUACCUCCGUAAUUACCUAUCGUGUGGGUUUUCCGGAUUUGAAAUGAAUACACACAAUUACAUAAUUGAGACAUGAGGGUGUCUCUACAUGAUAUGUGACUCUUCCUAUGACAGGGGAAGUGUGACAAACAGGCGUCGUGACAUGACCGACAUAUUGGAUUCAUUCGGCCUCUUCCGUGACAAGCCGAAGGUUUCGGUUGAUCAACGGAAAGAGACGAGUGAUCACGACUGUCAACGAUCCGAAGUGAGUCUUAGACGUAGUAUGGCGG
Haliotis rubra (blacklip abalone) is the source of this 2228-nucleotide long non-coding RNA. RefSeq lists it as uncharacterized. NCBI's taxonomy places the organism in Eukaryota, Metazoa, Mollusca, Gastropoda, Lepetellida, Haliotidae. The transcript is spliced from 2 exons. The record is from RefSeq and is a predicted model, not a curated record.